AAUGAACGCCGGCGGCGUGCUUAACACAUGCAAGUCGAACGAGAAAGUCCUUCGGGGCUAGUAAAGUGGCAAACGGGUGAGUAACGCGUGAGAAUUUACCUUUUAGUGAAGGAUACUCCCGAGAAAUCGGGGUUAAUACUGCAUAAGUCUCUACGGAGAGAAAGGCGGCCUCUUUGCUGUCGCUAAAAGAUAAGCUUGCGUCCUAUUAGCUAGUUGGUGUGGUAAAGGCGCACCAAGGCAAUGAUGGGUAACCGGCCUGAGAGGGUGUACGGUCACACUGGAACUGAGACACGGUCCAGACUCCUACGGGAGGCAGCAGUGGGGAAUAUUGCACAAUGGGCGAAAGCCUGAUGCAGCGACGCCGCGUGGAGGAAGAAGGUCUUCGGAUUGUAAACUCCUGUUAAAUGGGAAGAAAGACUUCUGGCUAAUACCCAGAGGGGAUGACGGUACCAUUAGAGAAAGCACCGGCUAACUUCGUGCCAGCAGCCGCCGUAA
This 495-nucleotide ribosomal RNA is filed under the name uncultured bacterium. RNAcentral's name for it is "partial 16S ribosomal RNA". It matches the Rfam family "Bacterial small subunit ribosomal RNA", at positions 29 to 523 of the family's 1533-position model. The record is from RNAcentral.